CUCAGAUUGAACGCUGGCGGCAUGCUUUACACAUGCAAGUCGAGCGGCAGCGCGGGGCAACCCUGGCGGCGAGCGGCGAACGGGUGAGUAAUGCAUCGGAACGUACCCUGGAGUGGGGGAUAACGCCGCGAAAGCGGCGCUAAUACCGCAUAUGCUCUGAGGAGGAAAGUGGGGACCGCAAGGCCUCACGCUCUGGGAGCGGCCGAUGUCCGAUUAGCUAGUUGGUGGGGUAAAGGCUUACCAAGGCGACGAUCGGUAGCUGGUCUGAGAGGAUGAUCAGCCACACUGGGACUGAGACACGGCCCAGACUCCUACGGGAGGCAGCAGUGGGGAAUUUUGGACAAUGGGGGCAACCCUGAUCCAGCCAUGCCGCGUGAGUGAAGAAGGCCUUCGGGUUGUAAAGCUCUUUUGGUCGGGAAGAAAGCGCCUUGCCUAAUACGCGAGGUGGUUGACGGUACCGGCAGAAUAAGCACCGGCUAACUACGUG
RNAcentral lists this ribosomal RNA (487 nucleotides) under uncultured bacterium. RNAcentral's name for it is "bacterial SSU rRNA". It matches the Rfam family "Bacterial small subunit ribosomal RNA", at positions 23 to 507 of the family's 1533-position model. The record is from RNAcentral.